Long non-coding RNA from Salvia hispanica, 1520 nucleotides. RefSeq lists it as uncharacterized. Lineage: Eukaryota; Viridiplantae; Streptophyta; Magnoliopsida; Lamiales; Lamiaceae. The record is from RefSeq and is a predicted model, not a curated record.
CCAUCGGUGUCUCUCUCUCAACAAAUCACAAAAUUCCCAAUUCAACACGCACAACCCUAAUCCAUUCUCCCUCCUCUCUCUCUCGGCGGUAUCGCCUCAUUCUCACCGCCACCGUCGACGCCUCUCGCCGGAUUAUGAGCUCGAUCUCUCAGCUGCUACACAGCACCGCCGCCCGAAGCCGGCCCUGGACCGGUGACAGCCGGUGUUGUUGCGUACGUGAGCUCAGCGAGGCAGCACCGCCGUCGCAGUCAGACACUCCGUAAGGCGGGGUUGUCGCCUGUGCUCCUCCGCCGCUCUCCGUUGAAAACGCGGAGGAGUUCUCGGCAUCACCGUCGCGCCAGCCAGUUCCGCCGUCGCCGCACGGCUGAGGCCUCGCCGCUUCCCGACGCGGUGGAACAGCCGUUACUGCCCCGGUUAGGGAGAAGGCGUCGCCUUUCCCUUCCUCCGGUUCCUCUCUAUAAGCUAAGUUUUUGCUGCCUUCCUUUGCUUAGCUCAAAUCGGGGUUUAUUUAGCAACCUAUGUAACAAUCGAUUCUUGACUAUUGGUGAUUUCAAGCUUUGAUCUUGUGGGAGUUUGAUUAUUGAAUCCAUUAAUUGAGUUUGUGGCAGAAGCUCUAUAUUGUGAUUAAUGGGGAUUUCUUGAACUUGUUGGGAUUUAUUUGUUUGCUCACUGGAAAGAGCUUAACCCUUAAAAGAACUUGCUACAAAACUAUAGCAUAAAGGCAGCCUAUCGUGCUUGUUUUAUAUUGAUUGUGAUUCCUAAGUUGUGGUGACUCUAUAUGAUGGCAUGAAAAAUGAUUGGGAGGAAAGGGUGGAGGUGUAUUACCUCUGAAAAUUGAGGGAGUGGCUGACUUGCUGCUGCUCACUACUUGCUCUACCCUCUAACUCUCUGUUUUUGCUGAAUUUUGAAGUGUGGGUGAAAGGAGUUGGUGUGUGGUAUGGAGGGGCCUUUAUAGGCAGAUUGUGGGGUACUCUUGAGCCUUAAAUGGCUGCUGUAUCGUUUGUUGCUAUGCUGCAGAAAUCUCACUUUUAGUGAUCUCCUUGUCUCUCCUUCAUGGCUGCAAAACUUGCAUCUUUAUGGGUACCUAGUACUAGUUAUUAAUUGGGGUUGUUUGAUUGUGCAGAGAAGCAGGUGGCUGUUGUGCCAAAGGAGCUGCAGGGCUGACUUGCCUCUUAUGGUGAUUCUUUGGUCAUCUAUAACUAAAGAAAAGUUGUCUCCAUCCCUAUGGUCGAGAAAAACUUGGUUGCCAAGCUGCUAUCCGGGACAGCUUGAUACCCCGGCCCAACGGCUGAUCGGAAAACGGCCGCAACUUUCGGCCCGGAAAAAGAGACCCGAUGCCAUUUGUUCCAUGCACAUUUAUCUUUCCCUUUCUUUGUUUCCUUUAUUGGAAGCCUUGUUCUAAGUAUUGUAGUAUUUUGAAGAUUAGUUGUUCGUUUAUUGAGUAAGAAUUGCUAUUCGAAAAUUCCUGACAUUCUACAAUGUAAAUUCCAAUUGUUUAGUUCAUUUGAUUUUCACUUCAA